Molecule: ribosomal RNA, 402 nt
Filed under: Escherichia coli
Lineage: Bacteria; Pseudomonadati; Pseudomonadota; Gammaproteobacteria; Enterobacterales; Enterobacteriaceae
Description: partial 23S ribosomal RNA
Rfam family: Bacterial large subunit ribosomal RNA
Source: RNAcentral
AAUGGGUCAGCGACUUAUAUUCUGUAGCAAGGUUAACCGAAUAGGGGAGCCGAAGGGAAACCGAGUCUUAACUGGGCGUUAAGUUGCAGGGUAUAGACCCGAAACCCGGUGAUCUAGCCAUGGGCAGGUUGAAGGUUGGGUAACACUAACUGGAGGACCGAACCGACUAAUGUUGAAAAAUUAGCGGAUGACUUGUGGCUGGGGGUGAAAGGCCAAUCAAACCGGGAGAUAGCUGGUUCUCCCCGAAAGCUAUUUAGGUAGCGCCUCGUGAAUUCAUCUCCGGGGGUAGAGCACUGUUUCGGCAAGGGGGUCAUCCCGACUUACCAACCCGAUGCAAACUGCGAAUACCGGAGAAUGUUAUCACGGGAGACACACGGCGGGUGCUAACGUCCGUCGUGAAGA